UAAUAUGUACGAAACCCACUCAUUCUACGAGCUUCCAAUGUUUCCCCUAAUCAUGUUUGACAUUCUCUCUACACCCAAACGACGGCUUUAUAGGUUUCUCUGUUUCUGUAGUGAAUAGCUUUAUCUCUCUUUCUCACCUUUAAAUCAUUCCUCGAGUCUGUCCCACUACGAUGAAUUCAAUUGCUCCCUUCCCAAAAAUUCAUAUGAAAACCCUAAAAACUUUUUAUAUAACCGUCUAAGAAAUCUACAAAUCAAGUUUCUUCAUCAUCCUCUGUGUUCGUUGCGAUCUUGGACACUCAGAGAUAUCGUCAGUCUUCUAUGAGAAGGUCCUCCUUCUCACUUGGGAUACAACAAUGUGUUGAUCCUAAUCGUUAGGAUCAUUGUUUUCAUAUUCGCUACGGUUGGAUUGCUGCUGAUGAUAGAGACACUGGGUGGAGUUUCGGAACAAAUUCUACGUAGGAGAUUGUUCCAAGUUCGCUCCUUAUUCUUUCAUUCUCACCGGAAACGAAGACGAGGGGUAGGGAUGGAUGAUUGUUACAGACCAACUUUUAUUUAUUUUUUUCCCUCUCCAGUCUCCACAUUUGGGGUGGGUGGAUUAAAUAGUUUUAUUUUGUUUGCCUGUAUGGAGAUUAGAUCUUUUUAAACAAAAGUGGGAAAGUGUAUAGUGGAAUUUGUAUGAGGCAAAACUCAUUUCUUGCUGUGAUUGUUUGGAAUUAAAUACGUGAGGAUUUGAUUCCACUUAUACAAAA
Long non-coding RNA from Raphanus sativus (radish), 749 nucleotides. RefSeq lists it as uncharacterized. The record is from RefSeq and is a predicted model, not a curated record. Lineage: Eukaryota; Viridiplantae; Streptophyta; Magnoliopsida; Brassicales; Brassicaceae. The transcript has 2 exons.